This is a regulatory RNA element of 111 nucleotides. It matches the Rfam family "PyrR binding site". From Rfam's summary of the family: This family represents the PyrR binding site and terminator structure. This RNA structure is found upstream of a variety of genes involved in pyrimidine biosynthesis and transport. The record is from Rfam.
AUGUCCUUUAAGUUUAGUCCAGAGAGGCUAGCAAGGAAACGAAUUAAAUUGCGGCAUGGUGAAUGCUGUUUUCGUUGAACGCUGCCCUCAGAUAAGGGUGGCGUUUUUUUA